Rattus norvegicus (Norway rat) is the source of this 6202-nucleotide non-coding RNA. The record is from RefSeq and is a predicted model, not a curated record. NCBI's taxonomy places the organism in Eukaryota, Metazoa, Chordata, Mammalia, Rodentia, Muridae.
UUGGGAUGCUGAGAAACGGCAGAAACUCACUGCCAAAGUGGACCGCUCCUCUCCCUGAUUGGCAGGAAAAGUGCAAACAAAGAGGUGCAUCUCCCGGAAACAAUGAGUUUGGAGAUUUCCCCAGGGCGUGAGAGCGUGGACUGAAGGCUGGGUGUUCAAAGGGUGUGUGUGAAGAGACCGAGAUCCGCAUCUUCUGGGCAAAAGUUUUCUGGGAGGUGGAAGGAGAGUGGGUCGGGACUGAGUUGCUAGUGCUUUGGGGACAGAGCAGCCGGAGCUGCGCACCAAGGCUCAGAGUCGGGCGGGAGAUGCGGGGAGAGGGAGGGGGCGGGGAGGGAGGGGAGGGAGAGAGGAGGAAGGGGUGAGAGGGAGAAACCUGCCGCGGCUCUCCGCCUCUUUGUCUGCUCUGGGACUUGGAACAAAAGGGGGAACUCUGAUGAACUCCUUCUCCCGCUCCCUGGACGCCCGGGUAUCUCUUUCUCGCAACUUUGUCAAGGCGACUUUCUCCGCUGUCAGGCUGCGCAAAAGUGUCCCAGCGCUUCGCAGGCUGCAACAAUGGAAACAAUGUUCCUUCAAAGUGGGACGAAGUAGAGGGAGAAGGUGUCGUUGCCAGCAGCUCCAAGUGUCAUAUCAGGCACUUAGCAGAAGUACUUCCUACUGAAAUGCCUUGGGAUUACUCUUAUUGGAAAUAUACCUACCAGCCAGUAGCAUGGAGAUGCCAGGACCCCAGCAAGUUAGCACUGGAUGAAAUACCAUCAACUUCUUCAUUUAGAGUUUCUUCAGAUAAAGUGUUGCGGGUUCUGACAAGGCUCUCAUUAUGUGGAUUAUUGGAGUGUGAUGCCCAGGAAUUCUCUACUUAUAGAAGUAUUCCCACGUGCCUGCAGAAGCCUUCACACCCAGCACGUUCAGAUAUGAAUGAAUGAUGGCCAUCCAGUGACCAGCUGAGACUGACGCCUUACAAGAUGCAUGUGUAUGAUUAAGAGAGAUACAUGCAUGACUCCUGGAUUUACCUCCUUCCUGUCCCACAGAGUUACUGAAGGGAGUGAGUUAUGGAGUAACUUAUAACACGGCAGGCUUUUCCUCAAGAUAGCCCUUGUCAAAACAGGAAGAUGAAACUCAUGUUUCAACGAAGAGACCUCAGUUUGGGGUCCUGUCUGGAUGUACCUCUUAAUUACAAGCAGAAACGCCUUCAUACUUUUCCAUUUCUAACCAUCACAUCCCCAAAGGAGGCAUCUGCUGAGAGGUUAGAAAUAUCAAGUUCACCUUUCACUUCGGCAUGCCCCAACAUUUGACAGCCACUUCUUGGAUGAGAGUUGAGCGUGCGAAGAGGAACCGGGAAGAGAGAGCUCCAAGCUCUCACUUCUCUCCCAUGUGCCCCAGGGUGACUGCAACAGCUCCAUAAAUUACUGCUGCCCUUUUGAACUGACCUCCAGGUUCAGGAGAUGUAAAUAUUGAUGGCCUUGACACAGCCACCCCAACCCUGGUAUGCACUCUGCUCGGGAGAUGAAAUCUCUUCAGCUAACUGAAAGCAGGUGGGCUAGCGGAUCAACUGCUCUGGAUUCUCCACCAUCCAUAAUUCUGAGCCAACUACCCCAGUCCUGUCUCCCUUGGCACAAGGCAAGGGCUCUCCAGGUGGAACCGUCUGCGGGAGUCCUCCCAGUAUUUGCUGAGCUCUACCUGAGGAUGCAGACGCUUUGACAUGCUCGCCCUCAGACUUGGAAUCUGCAGCUGAAGUCCGUAGGUGGCUGUUUUCAUUGUCUUAUCACCAUGGAUUUCCUCAAACUUAACUAGAAGAGGAGAAGGAGAAGAAGAAAGAAGAGGAGGGGGAGGAGGAGGAGGAGCAGGAGGAGGAGGAGGAGAACAUGCUUGAUGCUCUCGAGUCCAAGUAUGACUACCAAGAGAAAUCUGGAGAAAUCCAAGAUAUUGUGAAGCCCUUCCUGCAAACACUACACACACACACACACACACACACACACACACACACACACACACACACACACACAGAGCAGAUCAAGGUCAGCAGAAAGUCAAGCACAUGAGCAGCCACAUCAUUGCGAAAGGAGCAGCUACAGGAAGAGAUCUUUGGCAGCUCCAUCUGUUUGGCAAGAGUGGGACCUGACCUGAGCUUACACCAAAUUACCUCAUGGUAAAUUAUUUUUCACCAGGCACUGUAAAUGUUUUGAUGUCUCCACCCCACUGGGUGCUGUGCAGAGGACAGAUGAUACAUCAAAGGCCUGCUAAUUAAUCUCCAGGUGUGGUUGGCUCUCUUCUUUUAGGAAAGAGUUAAACCCUCAGAUCUUUUCUCGGCAUCUCUCAGGUCAGUUUCUUUUAUUUAAAGCUAGUGAAAGACUUACAUAGAGUCUUUUAAACUAGAGUCAGUUGACUUUGACACCCCUUCUCUGGUGUGGGUGUGGCUCUGACAGGUAGCCAGGAUAAAGGUUUAUUUCCUUUUAAAAUAUAAACUGCAGGGAUAGAGGCAGGCCGAUCAUUAGAGCUCACUGACCAGGCGGCCUAGCUGACUGUUGAGCUCCGGGCUCACUGAGAGGCCUUGUCUCAAAACAAGACAAAACAAAAAUGUGGGAUGACACCCUAUGUUGACAUGUAGCUUCCACAUAUAUACACAUCAGAGUGCCCAUGGAAACAUGAAAACACACACGCACACAUGAACAAAUAAACUCCAUGUUAACUUCUUUUAGGUUCAUAUACUUCCAACCAAAGCAACCUUUUGCUGAUUCCUUAACACUCUGUAAUUUAUCUUUUCCUUGUGGAUAUUUUGGUAAUGAAUUACCCACUGAAGCCUUGUACAGCAGUUGGUGUUCUAUGGGGUACUGGGUUCCAUACUGUUCCCAUUUUAAACUUCUGUCUGUUGCUGUCCUCUAUAUUUAUGUCAAAUGUGAAGAGAAGACAUUUUAAUAGCAGCAAGAUGUUAUGGUUUGAAUAUGGAACAUUUCUCUCCUCCACCAGCACACGUGUUAAAGGUUACAUCUUUAGAUGACACUAAAGAUGUUUGGAAAAGAUCUAGAGACUUUAGGAGGUGGGGUCUGGCUUAAGGAAGUAGGUCACCUGGGAAAGAGUCUUUGAUGGUAUCUUACCCUUUACUGUCUCCAUCUCACUAUUUCCUAUAAGCGUGGAGAAUGAAGAAGGUUCUUUGUUAUAUGUUCCUACUGCUUCAAUGUUCUUGCCAAGUGUGUGGGAUGAAGCAGGUAUGGACAGAGUCCUCUGAAACCUUGAGUCAAAAUAAACUUUUCUUCCUAGUUGUUUGUGUCAGAUGUUUGUCUAGUCAGUGACAAUAAAAGUACACAGACAUUAGUUGGAAUCUCUUUCACCACCAUAACGGUAACAAUCAGAGCUGAGACAGAGCAAUGGCUCAGUUGCCAAAGUGUUUGUUACAAAAGCAUGAGGAUCACAUUCCCACAGAACCCAUCUAAAAAACUGCCAGGCAAAGCAAUGGAUGCUUAUAAUGUUGGUGCUGGGGAGGCAAAAGCAACUGGACCCCUGAGACUCAUUGGUUCUCCAGUGGAGCUGAAUAUGUGAGCUCCGGGUUCAGUGAGAGAUUCAGUCUCAAAGAACAAGUGGAGGACAAUAGAGAAAGACCCCUGGAGCCACCUUCUGAUCUCUACACAAAUUUGUAUGCACAAAACCCAUUCACACUCUCAUGUGCAUAUAUGCACACACAAACCAUUAGAGAUUGUUUUUUCUAAGGGGAGUUUUAUUCCUGGAACAACUAACUCUGAAGAGUGUCUAUCUCAGCAUUGUGGACGUUUGGGACUGGAUCAUUGUAUAUUGGCAAAGGUGUCCUGUGUUCUGUAGAAUGUUUGAUAGCAGCCGGGCCUCUGACUAUGAGUACUAACUUUCAGGUGUGGCAUUCAGAAAUCUUCUUGGAUUGAUUCAGCUAAGGAUCAGGAGGCAAAGGCCAGUGAAAAGGAGGGAAGGAGUUGUUGUCCUUGUUAGUUUAAUACCUGAAUGCUUUCCAGGGAAGUGAAUCUGGAGGCAUUGGACUCUGCCAGGCAAAUUCCAAUCCAUCUACCAAUUCUCUGUUCAUUACUGAUGGGAAUUUGAAUUUACUUUAGUGUUAUACAUCAAUCAGAGUCAUUUAGUACAAGUAUUGACUUUGAUGUCAUUGGGACUAAAGGCUCCCCAGCUGUUUGUAUAGCAGACUGGGCUCUCUGUGAAGGGGACGCCAAUGGAAGGUUAUUUUCACUUUCUGCUGUUUCAGUGGGAAGAGGUUGUUGGGGAUAGAAGAUUUAAAUAUGACUCCUUAUAAGCUUUAAAUAGCUGAGUUCAUGGCUGGAGUGAGGAAACACCACACUAUAAUUUAGUCAUUUUUGUGAAUGAAUGGUCAGCUCUAUGACUGAAGCACACGUUUUGUUGAGUUCACCGUCUCCUCCAGUGCUCAGCACUGUCCAGAAUGUUCGUAGCAUCCAAAUUGGUUUGCAGCCCAUCUCCUCUACUCUGACUCUUCCAGGUUUCCUUGUGCCUCUGGUGUGGGAUGUUUGUGUUGGCAGACAAGUAGAAUCCUGUCACAACUGAGAUUUCAUGUGAAAGGCGUUCUUGUCUCUAUUUCAAAAUUUCCUUUUUGCACUCACUUCUCUCCUCACGUGAGCAUGCACACUUGCCAAAUGUGUUCUGGCUGCUGCUUUCUUUCUAUCUCUUUCUGAUUUUCCAUCCCUCCUGCCUUUGUUGCUUCUUGCCUCUCUUGCUAUAGAAACUGUCAGGUACCUGGGUAACAGCAGCAACUCUCCAGUUUGGAACUGUACUUUAGUGCACCUUGAGCGCUCUCUCUUUAACUAUCUCUGCCUGUCUCUAUCUCUCUUUUUCUCUUUGUAUCUCUGUCUCUCCCUCUGUCUCUCCCUCUCCCUCUCCCCCUUCCCCCCCACCUCUCUGGGAUGCUUAGUGAUCUUCACAGCAAAUGAAGGUGAACUCUUGCCACAUUAUUACCAUACAGCCAACUCUAUUGAACAGAUUGGGCUGAGCUUUGAACAGCUGUGGCUGGCAGUGAGUCCCCAACUCCUCUAGGAGGAAUCCCAGAACUGCCAAGUCAUCAAACUUGAAGGGGAAAGGGAACAAGAAAGGCUAUGGGGUUAGUGGUUCCUCCUACAGGUAUGUUUGCUUUUGCAAUCUACUUUUUUUUUUUUUUUUUCAAAUGUUCAUUGGUUUGUGGAUCUGAGUGAUAACUGGAUAAAUUGAUUUUAGGAACUGCUGUGUCUGCUAUAAACUGAAUCACUCAGUGGCUGAACUGUGAUUUUAUUGUUCAUUUGCAAGCACUAAAAUGUGAUCAGAUAAGUGUUUUUGUUAAAAAUGUGUGUGUGAUGCCUUCUCACCCACUGCAACUGUUUGCUACUUUAAGGAGAAUUUUGAUGUACAAAUGAAUCUAAAUUCAGCAGUGGUCUGUUAGAACUCUCAAAAGUAUAGGAUUUUUCGUGGGUACGAUAGGUGAGAAGUAGGUGGGCUAGGGGAGAUAACAUAAAGUGGUGUCCCAGCGAGCCCAAGCCACUCUUUAAAUGUGUCUUAUUGUUCAUUCCAUAGGUGCUGGAUGUGCCUGUGUGCUCAUGCAUGCACAUGUGUCCUUCAAUAACUUGCUAUAAGUUAAGUUUUUUACAUAAAAGUUGGUUUAGUAUUUUGAGUUCACUCUUGCUGCAGCUUCCCAUUAUCAUUGUAGGCUGAGGUUGGGUGAAAGCCACUCCAGCCCCAUCCUGGAUGGGCAGGACAAGUGUUUCUCAUUAUAUUCUUUCACAUUGUUUUCCAAGAUGGAUUCCCACAAGAGAAGAAUAAUGGGUUUGCCAUUGGAAAGAGUCAGAAUUGAGCUUAGCUUUGCUUGUCCAUCAUGUCUAUUUUGAGAACUUACUGUUCAGAUUCAGUUUCUUCCUGUGCAAUCGGGAUAUACUUGUUCACUUCAUGCGAUUUUUUUUUGGAGGUAUAAUAUUAAGUAAAAUAAAACAUUGAAUAAAACAUUCCUAAAACAUCUAUGUACACACAGGCAUCUCUGAGCACACAUACAGUUAGUUUUAAUUUCUGUGUUUCAUAAAUGAAUAGAUGACAAUCUUUUCUAUUUUCUUUUUGUUGUGCUUUGUAUUACAACUAGGACUUAAUGGAGCAAGGCUGGCACCUACUACUGAACCACACCUUAGUUCCACUGGUAGAUUCUAGAUAGGCUUUAUCUUGGAACCAUACCCCCAGCACUCUAUAGUUGAGCCACUCUCCCAAA